GCCGAAUUGGUUUCUCUCAAGACCUCCAUGGACGUCCCACAUGCAAGCUCCAAUUCACCACUUUCAUGCCAUGAUCUUCAUAAAUUCUUUCAUUAAAAGUGAUCCUUACCUCUUGGGAAGACUAUAGGCAGCAAAAGGGAGAAGAAAUUCCAAGGUUUUAAUAAGCUCAAGAAAAGGUACUGGAGACCAGACACAACAGCCGGCAUAGCAGCAACCGCCACAGUAGUACUCUGAUUACAGUUGACUAGAUCUGCAUACAGUCCAGAGUUCACCUCAUCAAUCUUUUGUAUUUUGG
This 295-nucleotide unclassified non-coding RNA is filed under the name Hevea brasiliensis (rubber tree). Lineage: Eukaryota; Viridiplantae; Streptophyta; Magnoliopsida; Malpighiales; Euphorbiaceae. The record is from RNAcentral.